GGGUUUAAUAUCUCAAAAUAUAUAGAAAAAUUAUAUUAAAUUGCAUGAAAAAUGUCGCAUUGACAAGGUGGGAAGUGGAUAGGUCUUAUAGAAGAUUAUUGUUGCUGAUUGUUAGCAGACAGGCCCUUUAAUAUUGCUAUUUUAUACACCGUUAAAUAAUUGUGGCAAUUAUAAUGUUUUCAUUAGUGUCGGUCUCUGUGCAUGUCUUGUUUUAAUUCUGAUGCAAUAUUUAUUUUUCACUUCUUGUGUUUUCUUUACAGCGCUGCACCACUGGUGAUAUUGAUAAAUUAGGCAGCAGUCUCCUAAAUGAAAUAUUACAGUACAUAACAAGCAAGAAGCUCAUUAUUUCCAGGAUCAGCUUUAUCGGCUUUUCUUUGGGCAAUCUAAUAAUACGCUCAGCCUUGUGGAGACCUGAAUUUGAAGGCUACCGUGGAAACCUGCACACUUACCUCUCCUUCGGUGGACCACAUAUGGGCCUUCUGUACCCCAACUCGUUUCUCUUUAAAACUGGCCUGUGGUUAGAGAAGCGGUUGCAUAUAGGUGUCUCCGUAUCUCAGAUGGCAUUAUCAGAUCACAAAGACCCAAGACAAAGUUUCCUCUACAAACUCAGUCAGAAAAAAGGCUUGGAGCACUUCAAGAAUGUGAUUCUCGUGAGCGCGUUACAAGAUUACCUUGUUCCCCAUCACUCCGCUCGUAUUGAAAUGUGCAAAGAUGCUGUGAAGGGAGAUGAGUUAGGUAAGGUCUCACUUUUAAACAUACGUCUACUGAACAGAGUACAUGUACCACUGAAGCAGUAGCCAGUUCUCCUCCAGCCAAGACUACAGCUCCCACAAUGCCUUGCACACUGAUGUGAUUCUUUACAGGUUUGUUUAUCACAGAUCAUGCAACAGAUUAAGGAAAGUAGGCCUCUUGGCUGGAGGAGAGUUGACCCCUGCUAAAUAGUUCCAGCUGUACAUUUUAUUAAAAAUCUUUCCUGCACAUUAAGAAGGUGCACAAGUCUUUGCUGGAUAAAUCCAAGGUCAUUGUUUGUUGGUGGAAUGGAAAGACUACCGUGUAUUUAUAUAACAAUGUAGUGCCGUUUCCUUUUCAGGAGCUGUUUACAGUGAGAUGCUCCGAAACCUCCUUGAGCCUGUUCUACACAACGAGAACUGUAACUUUGUGAGAUACGACGUUAGUUUCGAUCUGGCCAAAUCAUUCUUGUCUUUCGCUGGGAUUGAAGGCCACCUCGCAUUAAUUUCAUCUUGGCAAUAUUUGGAAAACUUCUUUCAAAACGCUGGCCUGAAAUAUUUUGAAUAGAAGAAAUGUGAUGCCCGAAGUGCCAGAGACAUUGAGUUGCAGAACCUUUUCUACCUUGUUGCACAAUGGACUAAUGAUUUUGCCGCAAAGACCGAUCUACUGUAAAAUGCUGAUGUUAUAGACCUGUGAAAUGUAUUUGUUCUUUGUAACUGAUUUACCAAUAAAAUAAACUUGAAUUAAACAUAUUUGUUGAUUCUUUUAUCCUUUAAUAGAAAAUGGUCAGACAUGAUCAUGGGGAGGGAAAAGUCAAAAUGUUUUUUGUGACACCCUGAUAGAGACAAAUUGCAUAAAAAAUAUGUAUAAAAACUUUCCGACAAUGAAAACACCAUUAAGCAAUAACAAUAAGCCUAUUGGCAAAAAAAAGAUUAUCAUGAUAUGUGUUGGUCACUGAGUAUAGUUGUGAAUACAGAGAUUUGUGCAACAGAGAAAAUAAACAUCUCCCAGCUUUGUACAAUAUAUAAAUCAAAUACUGUAUAAAUCAGCCUG
Xenopus laevis (African clawed frog) is the source of this 1782-nucleotide long non-coding RNA. RefSeq lists it as uncharacterized. The transcript has 5 exons. NCBI's taxonomy places the organism in Eukaryota, Metazoa, Chordata, Amphibia, Anura, Pipidae. The record is from RefSeq and is a predicted model, not a curated record.